UGGGGAAUUUUGGACAAUGGGCGAAAGCCUGAUCCAGCAAUGCCGCGUGUGUGAAGAAGGCCUUCGGGUUGUAAAGCACUUUUGUCCGGAAAGAAAUCCUCUGGGUUAAUACCUCGGGGGGAUGACGGUACCGGAAGAAUAAGCACCGGCUAACUACGUGCCAGCAGCCGCGGUAAUACGUAGGGUGCAAGCGUUAAUCGGAAUUACUGGGCGUAAAGCGUGCGCAGGCGGUUUUGUAAGACGGAUGUGAAAUCCCCGGGCUUAACCUGGGAACUGCAUUCGUGACAGCAAGGCUAGAGUAUGGCAGAGGGGGGUAGAAUUCCACGUGUAGCAGUGAAAUGCGUGGAGAUGUGGAGGAAUACCGAUGGCGAAGGCAGCCCCCUAGGCCAAUACUGACGCUCAUGCACGAAAGCGUGGGGAGCAAAC
This 426-nucleotide ribosomal RNA is filed under the name uncultured bacterium. RNAcentral's name for it is "bacterial SSU rRNA". It matches the Rfam family "Bacterial small subunit ribosomal RNA", at positions 355 to 773 of the family's 1533-position model. The record is from RNAcentral.